GACGAACGCUGGCGGCGUGCUUAACACAUGCAAGUCGAACGGAAAGGCCCUGCUUUUGUGGGGUGCUCGAGUGGCGAACGGGUGAGUAACACGUGAGUAACCUGCCCUUGACUUUGGGAUAACUUCAGGAAACUGGGGCUAAUACCGGAUAGGAGCUCCUGCUGCAUGGUGGGGGUUGGAACGUUUCGGCGGUUGGGGAUGGACUCGCGGCUUAUCAGCUUGUUGGUGGGGUAGUGGCUUACCAAGGCUUUGACGGGUAGCCGGCCUGAGAGGGUGACCGGCCACAUGGGGACUGAGAUACGGCCCAGACUCCAACGGGAGGCAGCAGUGGGGAAUAUUGCACAAUGGGCGGAAGCCUGAGGCAGCAACGCCGCGGGCGGGAUGACGGCCUUCGGGUUGUAAACCGCUGUCGCCUGUGACGAAGCGUGAGUGACGGUAAUGGGUAAAGAAGCACCGGCUAACUACGUG
RNAcentral lists this ribosomal RNA (468 nucleotides) under uncultured bacterium. Its description in RNAcentral is "partial 16S ribosomal RNA". It matches the Rfam family "Bacterial small subunit ribosomal RNA", at positions 28 to 507 of the family's 1533-position model. The record is from RNAcentral.